AGAGUUUGAUCAUGGCUCAGAUUGANCGCUGGCGGAAUGCUUUACACAUGCAAGUCGAACGGUAGAGGGGGCAACCCCUUGAGAGUGGCGAACGGGUGAGUAAUGUAUCGGAACGUGCCCAGUCGUGGGGGAUAACGUAGUGAAAAUUACGCUAAUACCGCAUACGAUCUAUGGAUGAAAGCGGGGGAUCGCAAGACCUCGCGCGAUUGGAGCGGCCGAUAUCAGAUUAGGUAGUUGGUGGGGUAAAGGCUCACCAAGCCAACGAUCUGUAGCUGGUCUGAGAGGACGACCAGCCACACUGGAACUGAGACACGGUCCAGACUCCUACGGGAGGCAGCAGUGGGGAAUUUUGGACAAUGGACGCAAGUCUGAUCCAGCCAUUCCGCGUGCAGGACGAAGGCCUUCGGGUUGUAAACUGCUUUUGUACGGAACGAAAAAGCUCUUAUUAAUACUAGGAGUCCAUGACGGUACCGUAAGAAUAAGCACCGGCUAACUACGUGCCAGCAGCCGCGGUAAUACGUAGGGUGCAAGCGUUAAUCGGAAUUACUGGGCGUAAAGCGUGCGCAGGCGGUUAUAUAAGACAGAUGUGAAAUCCCCGAGCUUAACUUGGGAACUGCAUUUGUGACUGUAUAGCUAGAGUACGGCAGAGGGGGAUGGAAUUCCGCGUGUAGCAGUGAAAUGCGUAGAUAUGCGGAGGAACACCGAUGGCGAAGGCAAUCCCCUGGGCCUGUACUGACGCUCAUGCACGAAAGCGUGGGGAGCAAACAGGAUUAGAUACCCUGGUAGUCCACGCCCUAAACGAUGUCAACUGGUUGUUGGGUCUUCACUGACUCAGUACGAAGCUAACGCG
This 850-nucleotide ribosomal RNA is filed under the name uncultured bacterium. RNAcentral describes it as "bacterial SSU rRNA". It matches the Rfam family "Bacterial small subunit ribosomal RNA", at positions 8 to 859 of the family's 1533-position model. The record is from RNAcentral.